ACUCCGGUUGAUCCUGCCGGACCCGACUGCUAUCGGGAUGAUACUCAGCCAUGGGAGUCGCACGCUCUCGGCCACGUGAGGGCGUGGCGUACGGCUCAGUAGCACAUGGUCAAUCUACCCUCGAGAAAGCGAUAACCCCGGGAAACUGGGGAUAAUAGCUUAUAGACGACCAACUCUGGAACGGGUGGUCAUCGAAAUGGUACGCAGGCAUGCCUGU
RNAcentral lists this ribosomal RNA (217 nucleotides) under Nitrososphaerota archaeon. Its description in RNAcentral is "partial 16S ribosomal RNA". It matches the Rfam family "Archaeal small subunit ribosomal RNA", at positions 1 to 202 of the family's 1478-position model. Lineage: Archaea; Thermoproteati; Nitrososphaerota. The record is from RNAcentral.